This 277-nucleotide ribosomal RNA is filed under the name uncultured eukaryote. RNAcentral's name for it is "partial 18S ribosomal RNA". It matches the Rfam family "Eukaryotic small subunit ribosomal RNA", at positions 21 to 289 of the family's 1831-position model. The record is from RNAcentral.
UAGUCAUAUGCUUGUCUCAAAGAUUAAGCCAUGCAUGUCUAAGUAUAAACAUCUUUAUACAGUGAAACUGCGUACAGCUCAUUAUAUCAGUAAUUAUUUAUUUGAUGGUACCUUACUACAUGGAUACCCGUAGUAAUUCUAGAGCUAAUACAUGCGUAAAGUCUCAACUCUUGCGGGAAGAGAUGUAUUUAUUAGAUAAAAAAUCAAUGCAAACAGUAAUGUUUGGUUAUUUGGUGAUUCAUAGUAACUGUUCGAAUCGUAUGGCUUUAUGCUGACG